CACCUCUCAGGGUCGCACCUGGAGAGUUUCCAGUACUCUACCAGUCUUGGCUAUAGGAGGGAGAGUCAAGCAGAGGCGUACUCACUCCUUUCCUAGCUUGGCUAGUGAGUGGAAGGCAAUCUGCUACAAAU
RNAcentral lists this small nucleolar RNA (131 nucleotides) under Ornithorhynchus anatinus (platypus). Lineage: Eukaryota; Metazoa; Chordata; Mammalia; Monotremata; Ornithorhynchidae. The record is from RNAcentral.